This 498-nucleotide ribosomal RNA is filed under the name uncultured bacterium. RNAcentral's name for it is "bacterial SSU rRNA". It matches the Rfam family "Bacterial small subunit ribosomal RNA", at positions 899 to 1397 of the family's 1533-position model. The record is from RNAcentral.
ACUCAAAGGAAUUGACGGGGGCCCGCACAAGCGGAGGAACAUGUGGUUUAAUUCGAUGAUACGCGAGGAACCUUACCUGGGCUUAAAUGUAGAGUGCAUUUUCUAGAGAUAGAAAUUCCCUUCGGGGCUUUCUGCAAGGUGCUGCAUGGUUGUCGUCAGCUCGUGCCGUGAGGUGUCGGGUUAAGUCCCAUAACGAGCGCAACCCUUAUCGUUAGUUGCCAGCUGGUAAAGCAGGGGACUCUAGCGAAACUGCCACCGUAAGGUGAGAGGAAGGUGGGGAUGACGUCAAAUCAGCACGGCCCUUAUGUCCAGGGCUACACACGUGUUACAAUGGCCGGUACAGAGGGCUGCUACCUGGUGACAGGAUGCUAAUCUCGAAAACCGGUCUCAGUUCGGAUCGAAGUCUGCAACUCGACUUCGUGAAGCCGGAUUCGCUAGUAAUCGCGCAUCAGCAACGGCGCGGUGAAUACGUUCCCGGGCCUUGUACACACCGCCCGU